This 369-nucleotide ribosomal RNA is filed under the name uncultured organism. Its description in RNAcentral is "bacterial SSU rRNA". It matches the Rfam family "Bacterial small subunit ribosomal RNA", at positions 526 to 896 of the family's 1533-position model. The record is from RNAcentral.
CGGAGGGUGCAAGCGUUAUCCGGAUUUACUGGGUUUAAAGGGUGUGUAGGCGGACUUUUAAGUCAGCGGUGAAAUCUCCGGGCUCAACCCGGAAACUGCCAUUGAUACUAUUGGUCUUGAACGUUGUUGAGGUGGGCGGAACGGGUCAUGUAGCGGUGAAAUGCAUAGAUAUGACCCGGAACACCGAUUGCGAAGGCAGCCCACUAAGCAAUGAUUGACGCUGAGGCACGAAAGCGUGGGGAUCAAACAGGAUUAGAUACCCUGGUAGUCCACGCCCUAAACGAUGAUUACUCGACGUUGGCGAUACACUGAUCAGCGUCCAAGCGAAAGCAUUAAGUAAUCCACCUGGGAAGUACGUUCGCAAGAAUG